CACACCGCCCGUCACACCAUGGGAGUUGGAUUCACUCGAAGGCGUUGAGCUAACCCGCAAGGGAGGCAGGCGACCACAGUGGGUUUAGCGACUGGGUG
This 98-nucleotide ribosomal RNA is filed under the name uncultured bacterium. Its description in RNAcentral is "partial 16S ribosomal RNA". It matches the Rfam family "Bacterial small subunit ribosomal RNA", at positions 1386 to 1482 of the family's 1533-position model. The record is from RNAcentral.